UUACUUUCAAAAAUAAAUUACUUUCACACAGUAUAUAUAGUAAGUUAGAAAUAUAUUUUUUAAAAAUUUCACUUUCGUAUAUUAUUCCUACAAAAAUUUUAAUAUUUUCAAAUGUAAAACACUAUUUAUUUUAUAAGAGAAAUGACCUUUAUGCCAUCAUAAAUCAUGUCCAUUAAAGAGGGAUAAAAAUGUCAAAUUUUAUUAACUAAUUAGGGUUGAGUAUUUUAGUUGUGGUUAACUGAUUUUUUCUAACAAAUCCUAACAGCAGGGACAUAUUUAUAAAAAUCAAAACUUUUGCAGAGACAACAUAUAAAAAUUAAACCUUAGAGAGAUAUAUUUGCUAUUCCCUAUAUUUGUAGGGACCUGUACAAAAUUAAUCCUUCAAAAAUUUAUAUUUUAUCUCUUUAAAAUUUUAAAAAUAUUUUCAAGGAGUAUGUCGUUAAUAAAAAAAACAAAAUAACCAAAUUAUUCUUAUUUCUUCUAUAAAAAAUAAUUUUUUAAUAUAUUUCUGUCAUUUUGAAAGAUAUUUUUAAUAUAAAUUGUAAGAAAUGAACAGAACAGUAAUGGAAUCCUGAUAGAUGAGGGCUAAAUACAAUAAUUUGAAAUGCUGAUGAGGUAAAAUAUAAAAUUUUGAAAGUUAGAAAAAAAAUAAUAAAAAAUAAAUAUUUAUAAGAAGGUUUUCUAUAAUUUCGUCUUUUUCUUUUUUUACCGUUUAGGUUUAAGCCAUUAACUUACUUUCGAAUAAACAACAACGGAAAAAUUAUUUUAGCUUGAACUUUGACUCCACUAAAGUUAUUUUUACAUUAGUCCCCGAGGUUCCAAUCUAGUGUUCUUUUGAUCGUUGAAUCUUUAAGUUCUACUUUUCUUAUAGUAAAUUCUUAAAAGAGUUUUGUUUUAGUCCUCAUAUAUAUUUACUAAUAAAAGAUAAAUAAUUACCUACAACCAGUGAAUCUGUACAUCUAUAUAAUAUUCAUUAUCAACUAUUUUUUUUAUUGUGUAUUUCAAUUCUUAUCAUCCAUUAGAUUACAAAACUAUUUUCUAAAUAAAAAGUGAACCUCAGUUGAAAGUAUGAGAUGAUUAGGAUUUCUGAAGUACGAAUAAAUAUGUAUUAGAUGCAGACAAUAAUUUUUACUUUAAGAUAAUAAUUAAAACAAAAUGUUAUUGACGAUAUAGAGACUAAAUGGAGAUCUUAUUAAAAGUUUUAAGAAUCUUCAAUGCUGAAAUAAAUAGUUUGAGGAUCAAAAAUGAAAAUUGACUAAAAGAUCAAAGGACUAGUGUUUACAAUUUACCUAUUCUAGUAGGAUGUACCAACCCUUUUUUAAGUUUUAUAUAGUAAAAAAAAAAAAAUUGAUCAGAUAAGUAGUAGAAAAAGAGAUCUUUGUAGAAGAGGAGUUAUAGGAUUACACUCCAAAGUGUGUUGUAAAUUUUACACUUCUAAAAAAUGCUUGAUGACCUACUAAACUCAAGUUCAUUUUCAGAAUAAUGUUAUCUACGUACUCUAAAGUAGCAAAUUAUUCGCAAUAAGCUCCUCAACUUUUUUUUUUUUUUUUUUUUUUUUUUUUGUUUUCGGGUGCGUGCAGUUUUUUCUUUGCGGGCUGCAAUGUUACUGGCAUAUCCCACAUCCCAAAGUGAGAGGUACCACUUCAUCUAAAGGCCAUUAAUUUUUUACUUAUCAAAUCAAUACUUGUUUUAUUUUUAUCAAAAAUUAUUUGAAUUUUUUUGAAUCCUAAAAUGGAGGUGUUUAACCUCUUCUUGUGGUGUGGAAGUAGAAUUUUUCUAUUUGGAUUGUGAUCUUACAACUUAAUUCCAUGUAAAGGCUAUAAUUAACAAAGUUAUCUUAUCAUUUUUUUUUUCUUUUUAAACUAAAAGCCAAAAAGAAUUGUUUAAAGUCUUAAACUAUUAGAUUCGGAGUUGUAAAUUUUACAAUCUUUUUGGGUCGUAGACUUAGCAUUUUUCUUCUUUUUUUUUUGGUGGGUUUGGGAGCCGUAAACUUUAAAUUGCUUGCUUAUUUUGUGAUUUAGCUAUUUUUAUUUAAACUAUAUUGUAGUUUAAAGAAUUGUUUAGUCUCUUAAAUAUUAGAUUCAGAAUUGUAAAUAUUACAAUUUUUUUUUGGAUUGUAAACUUUUUUUUUUGUGUGUUUUUUGUGGGUUGGGGGGAGCGGCAAAAAUUGCUGCUUAUUUUGUGAUUUAGCUAUUUUUACUUAAACUAUAUUGUAGUUUUAAAAAAAUUACAUAUAAUUUUAUUUUUAUUUUAGCCAGACAAUAAAAGUAAUACUGUAAAAUAGCUUACUUAAAAACAAAAGGAAAAACUUCAAAUACCACCAUGUGGCUUCACAGUUUCUCACUCUAGUACCCUAUAUUUAAAGUGUAUUAUUUUCGUACUCUGUGAUUUUAUUUUUCUCUUUUUGUUAUCCCAAUCAGUGACAAAGUUAAAACUAAAGGGUACUAAAGUGAAUAUUCAAUAAACUAUAAGUGGGAUAUUUGAAGUUUUUUGUAUAUGAUUUAACGAAAAAUUAAUGGAGGGGCUGACGAAAAGAGAAAAAUAAAAUCAUAGGAUACUAAAUUGGUACACUUUAGACUAUAGGGUACUAAAAUGAGAAAGUGCGAAACCACAUGCCCUCGGCCGCAGCCUCGCCAUCGUCCACCCCUUUGUCCAUAUCCAGACACACGCCCUCGCCAUUCUCUGCCGCCAAGAUGAGCAAGAUUGAGAAGGAGGAGUUGAAGAAUAUGAGGGUAAUUUGGUUAUUUUGUCACAUUGUGAACAUUUUUGUUUUUCAAAGAGGCAAAAUGUAAGUUUUUAAAUGAAAGGGAAGGAACGUGAAAAAGCGAGUAUUUGACAGCAUAUCUAUAACAUAUUAUAAAUUCUCAAAGAAUUUAAGCUCUGUCCGCGUUUUAGGGAAAAAGUGGGCCCGCCUCUUCUCUAAAUAUUAGGAAUAAGUUUUUUAAUAGAGCCUACUUUUCCUCUCUCUUUAAUUAAGAUUGGUCAUUUAAUUAAAACUUUUCGGUUCCUUCUCUCCUCUCAAACACCCCUCCGUCUCCUCCCUCUCAAUCCACGUUUUAGAAAAAAAAAAAUGGGACAUGCCUCUUCUCUAAAUAUUAUCUAUAACAUAUUAUAAAUUCUCAAAGAAUUCAAGCUCUCUCCGCGUUUUAGGAAAAAAGUGGGCCCGCCUUUUCUCUAA
Molecule: long non-coding RNA, 3178 nt
Filed under: Ananas comosus (pineapple)
Lineage: Eukaryota; Viridiplantae; Streptophyta; Magnoliopsida; Poales; Bromeliaceae
Description: long non-coding RNA (ACOM_LNC031254)
Source: RNAcentral